CUCUCCCUAAACAGAAGUCGAUUGUGUCUGAGUCUCCUACAAUAACGGAUAAAUUGAAUUAAUUAAUUAUACUCUGAUAAAAUUUGGUGCUUUGGAUGCAAGGAGAUAUUGAUUGUGAUUAGCUAUUCUUCCAUAUACAGGAUGGGUGACGUUUCCGAAGAUGUUAGUACAACAACCAUGCGAUCAGAAUUAAACCUGUUCACAACCUCUCCAUAACCUGGGUCUCAAUGUCAACUGCUAUGUUUGAAAUAAAAAAGUUUAUCAUCAAAGGCGUGAUGAUUUUCGUGUGAAACCAAAGAGAUAAAUGGUUUAAUAUCUAUUACUCAGCAUAUGAUAACAAAUAAAUAUACUAGCUGCGUUAUUGUAAUUAUUCCAAUAUGUAUAUCUCUAAUUCCAGUCUUCCCCAUGAUCUAAGGAGAGCUUAUUUUGACUAAUUAGUCAAUAUCGCAGCAAGAGAGGAUGAUCAAGGGAAGGAAGAGAUUUUUGUUGACUCCCGGUGAUUGAUGUGAGAUGUGAUUAGUCUUCAGGACAUUGAGCUUUUGUUCGAUAUAUUGCCUUUACAUGUAGUGCUGAUUGCAGUGGAAAUGUUCCUUCAAAGGAAUUUUCAGACGUGCCUUAUCUGGACCGAUUGGAUUUCUUCAACUGAUAUGCGUUUCUUAUUUAGUUCAAAUUUUUUGUUUACUUUUUUCCUUUAUUACUACUAUGUGCACGUGUAUAUCUUGUCCUUGGGUAGUAGUCAGUGGCUAGUGCUACAAUCCAUACAAUGCUUGCUUACUAUUGGCAUUAGGUGGUUCAUAAUACACAAUGCAGUUCAUAAUACAGUGCAGGACAAAAUUAUAAGAUACUUUCCAUAUUUAUAUGUUCGUGUAUAUAAAAAAAGGAAAUUAUGUAAUGUUAUAAAAGAACAUUACAUUAAAAGAAAAUACAUGCGUUUUUCUACUGUAGAUGUUACCAUCCCUAGAAUAAAUGUACGAAAUCUUAAGUUCGUAUAAUAUACAACAAAAAAAAUUAGAGAAAAAAAGUCAAUAUGAACUAACUUUAGUUGGACAAAAUAAUAAAACAAUAAGACAAAAAUUGUCAUGUAACCAUUAAUGACUGCGUCGAUAAUUACUUAACUUUAUUAAACAGAGGAUAAUGAACAUUACUAAUACUGAAUUGUGUCUUCGCUAUGAGGUUGUACAGGUAAAGUAGACCCAUCCUCUAUCUGUGGCCCGAAUAAUUUUCGGAUUCUUUUUCCAUAUAGAUUCUGCUUGAAAAUGAUCUAUCUUUAUCAUAAUAUAACCAACCUCUAUAGUUAUUCUGUAAAAUAAUAAAUGCAGGUACAUAUAUUUUAGCACUUUCAAAAGAUUAAGACAAUUCUUCUUUGUAUCUAAUUGAACGAAGUCAGUUUAUUGAAUAUGAAUUGUAAUACUAUACACGUUUUAAUAUAAGAUGUGUUAAUUAUUUUAAUAAUCAAUUGUAUUUUCUAGACUUACAAGUAUGUGCAUAUCUGGUACGUAUUUAAAAUAUAAUCUACUGCUAUGUUUUACAGAGAGUACACUAUGUAUCUAGUAUUAUUUGAAGAACCUUUUUUCUAAUAUCGGAACUAUAACAGAUCAAAUCAAUUGCAAAUUAAAGGCUCAUAUCGCUCACACUGAAAUAUUCAAAAAAUUCUUUCUUUUCUUCCAGCGAUAAAAUUUUAUCCCUAUAAAAGAAGUAAUAUAAUAAUAGGAUACAGGGGAAAAUAUCUAGUUUUUUUUCGACCAAUAUUCUUUCAAUUUGUCCAGCUAGGACAUUCGAUGAAUUAAUUUAAUAGUUCAUUAUAACAUGACGAUACUUAACCCAUGGAGAAGCAUCGAAAUUAUCGGUCUAAGUACAGUACGUGUAAUAGUAAGGUUUAAUGAUGCUCAUAUACUACAUAGUAGAUCAAUAGAAUAUUUCCUACAUAGUCUUCUAGGUUGGUCGAAUGAGUAUAGUUCUUUUGCAGUAGCGCUGGGAUGUUGAUCGAGUCGAUUUUUAUAAUUAUUGGACAUAGUCGCCCAAUUUCAUCAGAAACCCAUAACACAAUGUUUAGAUCUUUACGGAUCUCGUCAUUGCGUAUGUACCACGGAGCAGUAACAACUGUUCUAAGGAUUAUAGCUUGUAGUGAUUCUAACUUUCGAAUAUGACUCUUGGCUGCCAUACCCCAAAGUUGUAUACCAUAAGUCCAGAUAGGUUUACUUAUUGUUUUAUAUAGCAAUAAUUUAUUUUCAGGUGAUAAUUUAGAAUAUUUGCUGGUAAGGCAAUAAAUGUUUCUUUUUUUCAGUCUAAUAUGUUCAAUUUUUUUAUAUAUAUAUUGUUUCCAAGUAAGUUUGAAGUCCAUGUGCAGCCCUAGAUAUUUGACGGAUUUCGUUUCCGGUAUUACAAGGUGGUUCAGUGCGAUGUGUCAUGAAGAUCCUUUUCGUAAUGUGAAGGUGAUAUGAUUGUAUUUAUGGUUAUCUUCCAUUUUUUUUGGCCACUGUUCAAGCUCUUGAAUAUGGGUUUGUUUUAUCUGAGAUGCUUUCACAGAAUCUUCAUGUAUAGCUAAUAUAGCUGCAUCGUUGGCAAAUAUGAAUAAUGUUGUAUUUGGUGUAGUAGGGAUAUCGGCCAUGUAGAGUGUGUAUAGAGUAGGCCCUAGAACACUGCUCUGUGGAACGCCAGCCUUUAUCGCGUAAAUGUUAGAAAUGUUAUCUUGAAUUUUUACUAUAAAUGUUCUGUUUUCUAAAUAUGAUUUAAUUAAAUGGUGGUAAAUGAUGAGAAAAUUGAGUUUAAUCUUAUAUAGCAAAUCUUUAUGCCUUAUCAGAAGCUUUUUCUACAUCUAGAAAUAUAGCCGCACGGUACUGUUUAAGUUGAAGAGCUUCAGCGAUUUUAUUUGUAAGUCUGUGAACUUGUUCAGUUGUGGCAUGUUUUUUUUUUGAAAACCAAAUUGGUGUGGUGAUACACAAUUUUUUUCUGUGAUAUACAUUUCUGGUAGGAAUUUUUAUAAUUAUUAUUCUCCAUUUGUUUGGUAGCAUGCCAACCUGUUUCUUGAAUCGAAGUAAUGAGAUUGUCAACGGCAGUUUCCAUUUCAAGGGGAUUAUUAAGCCUUACAUCGCAAGAUAGGUUUUCAUUGAUAUACUGUUUGAAAAGGUUUCAGUCUGUAAUAUUGUUGCAAAAUGUAAGCGUAUUUGUUAAGUUUAUAGGCUUGCCUAUAAUGAUUUAUAAUGAUCGGAAUAUGAUCAGAACUAUAAGCUUGAUUUUAUUUUAUAAAAUGAUUGGUUUAAGCCUUUAAUUAUAGGAAAAUCUAUUAAAUCAGAUAUUUUGUCAAGUGCAGUUGGCCAAUACGUUGGCUCACCUGUUGUAAGGACAUUGAGAUGUAAUUUUUGGCUAACUGGUUCAAGAAUUUUUCCUCUUGGCGAGAUUGUUCUAGAGCCUUAUAAACCAUGUUUAGCAUUGUAAUCAUCGCCAUCGAGAAAUUUAUUUCCUAGAGACUUAAAAAACUCAAUAUAGUAUUCCAUAGUUAAUUUAUGUUUAAGAGGGAAAUAAACAGUAGAGAGUUUGAAAGGACCAUUGGUAGUUUAAAUGUUUACAAUCGGUGCUUGCAAAUUUACUUGAUUACAAUUGUUAUGAAAAUGAUAAAUUUCAGUUGUAUCGGCUUGAAUUUUUACUUGAAGUUGUUUUAUUGUGUAACUAUUACUAACAGCCUCUUUUAGAAAUUCAAGUAAUGGUUCAAUCACUUGUACUUCGAUAUGUAUUUGGGAUUGUUUUGGCUGAGGGGUAUUUUUUUGAUCGCUGGUUCCAAUGAUCUAUUAUCUUCUUUGUGUAGUAAAUCGAAUGAAUUCGUAAGUGGUAUUUUAUUCAAGAGUCAUUUAUCUUGUGGCUCCAAAUCAUAAUCCGUUCUGUAUAAUUUUUUGGAAUUAACUUUGUAUUUUUUGCUGCUAGUCUUGACAGGUUUCCAAUUUUGUAAGGAUUCCGAAUCCUUUUUCCAUCUCAUUUUUCAUAGUUUGGUUCCUAGCAAGUUUGAUUAUUCUUUUUUGUCUAGAUUCAAUGUCAGAGGAUUGUUGUUAUUCUGUAAUCAUUUGUUUGUAGUUGACUUGUUUUGGUAUUUAAGCUUAAAGGGAUACUAAAACUAUCACUGUUAUUGGCUAUUUUAAUAGAAGGUAUAUUGUUUGAUGGCAUGGUCAGUGAUGAUAGGCUUACACGCACGGUUUUCCGCGAGAGUGUACCGUAUAUAUUCACCUAGACUGGUCGUUUAACACUAUGUCUAUGCAGAACAAGCUAAUUGUUUACUUAUAUACAGAUAAGAAUGAAAUAUCCGAUGUAGUAUCUAAAGAAAGUGAUGACAUCAUAGAAGUUUCAUGUCUAACGUAGUUCCUAAUAACAAGGAAACACAUGCGCGUAAUUGAAGACAUCUUCGAAGUCUACGAUACAUCUCGGUGCUUACAUGGAAAUGAUGAAAUUCCUGAGCUAGAGUAGAGUUUCUUAUUUUCAGGUACAAUAUUCAAUUGUAUUAUAAUACUAUUUACCAUAGUAGCCUAUAGGCAUAUAUCGUAUACAGCAUGUAAGGGAGAAAGAAGAAUCCAUGCUUCUUGAGAUAUCUGAUUGCGUACAAAUGAAAUAUAGAUGCGAUGAGUCAUCGAAUUCUCGUAUUUAAAAAACCUCCAUCAUUUUCCGGCAUUACUUUUCACCGAUUAAUUUCUUGAGUUAUGUUUCUACAAUGAUGCACGAAUUUUUAAUCAAAAUUGUUACAUUAUUUAUACACAUAUUCCUGAAGUAAUCAUAAUGAAGUACGUAAUUUUUCAAAAAGACGUCAGCACAUUGUUGUCUCAUGUAAGAUUCUAAUGGCUAAGCCCAGCAAAAUUAUCGUCAAUGAAGAUUGGACAGUUAAUAUAAAUUUAAUCUUCGGAUUUGUUUUUCAUAAAAACACAAUUAUGUUCAGUCCAGUUUUUUCGUUAAAUCCUCUUGAUGUAUUCAUAAUUAUUAUGAGCAUUUCUAUUAAUUGUUUAAUGAAUUUUACCUUUUGACAGGAAUUAAGAGAUAUUAGAAUAACAUCGAAAUUGUGAUUAUAGUCGUGAUACUUGCUUACGAAUAAAGUGUAAAGACAAUAAAGACUUUAUUACGAUGAAUACUGCAAGUUCUCAGAAUGUAAAAAUUCCGAAAUUCAAAAACAAAUUUAAAUGAUGAAAACUGAAGACGUUAGGAACGAAAGACAAAUUGGUGGAAUGCUUGAAUACUGUCUUAGAGCUGGAAACAACUACAGAAGAUAAAAAUGACAACAAUGAUGCAAACACCGAUGACGAUGCAUAGAAGAACUUAAAAGAUCGAAGAUAUAAAUCGUUGGAAAUUUUCCCUAUUACAGAUGUAAAAAAAUCAAUGAAAACAUUUAGCUGCGAUGAUACUGUAAAUGUUCAUGACUGGAUAGAGGAAUUCGAAGAAAUAACAACUUUUCCCAACUGGACAGAUUUUUAGAAGGUAAUUUAUUAUAAAAGACUAUUAAGGGGAUCAGCAAAGAUAUUUGUGCGAAUUAAAAGAUGUAGUUUACAUCAUGGAGAUAACUUAAAAAAGACUGACAAAAGUCUUAAAAAAGAAUUUGCUUUGAAUUUAAACAUUUACAGUAUUACGAAACAGUUGAAGCAACGUAAGAAACAAGCAAAUGAGACAAAUAAUGGAUACAUUUACAGAAUGUACGAAAUCGCUAAUUGAAUGAGUAAAAUAAAAAACAUCAUUUAGGCGAAUAGAUGAUAAGUCGGUAAAUAAAAGUAUUAUUUGUGGCGCUACAACAAUUCAAAAAUUCAAACGAAAAUUUACAGUGUACGAAAGCAUAAAGAAGGAAAUGCAAAAGAAAGCAAAAUAGCACAUCGACAUCCGUAAAAAGAAAUAACCUAAACAUGGUUUUGGAUUACAACAAAACGGGAAAUGUUUGAAUUGUGACUUGUCUGCACAUAAUUCGGCGGAUUGUCUAUUAAAAUCGAAGGGCAUGAAGUGUUUUAACUGUAACCGGUUUGAACAUGUUGCGAGCAAAUACUUUACGGACGGUGCAUCAAAGAAGAUCUUCAAUGUUGCAUAAACAAUAAAGAAGAAAUCAUGUAAAGAAAUCGAGAUAAUAGACAUUAAGGUUAUAGCGCUUAUUGAUAUGAGUAGCGACAUUAAUUUAAUACAUGCGGAUCACUAUAUUAAAAUUGGCGCAUCUAAGUUAGGUAAAAUUAUUCGUUUUAAUGACGUAAUUUAAAAAUAACAAAAUGUUACGUUAGGUGAGUUUAAAACAAUAAUUGCCGUAGAUAGAUAUACAUAUCCAAUUAUACCUCACGUAGUUUCGUGGAUAACGUACGGUCUUUUUAUUGGGAUUAAUUUCUUGAACGAUGAGAAAAUAAAUAUAAAAACGGAAAUAUUUCAAUUUCGAAGAUUAAUGUAAAAGAAAGUUUUUCUGAAGUUCUUAAAAUAGAUAUCUUUCAAGAGACGGAUGAGAUCGACCUGGCUCAUAUAUGAAGAAUGUGGAACAUUAAUAGUUCAUUAAAGAUACUACAGAUAGUUAUAACCCGUUUGAAGUAUGUGAGGUAGGCGUACAAUUGAAUUUAAUUUUACUGGAUGAAUAACCGAUAUAUCAACUACUGAGGCGAUCAUCACGACGCGAUAAAGCAAAAGUUAAAUAAACAGAUUAAGGAAUGGCUCAAUAAGAAUAUAAUACAACCAUCGUACUCAAACUAUGCUAGUCCAAUAAUAUUGGUAAAAAAGAAGGAUGGUUCUGAUAGAUUAUGUAUAGGCUACAGAGAAUUAAAUAGAAAAAUCGUGAAGGAACGUUACUAACUUCUUUUAAUAAAGGAUUAGAUAAAUGUUCUACAAGGUGAAUUUUCAGUACUUUGGAUUUAAAAAAUAGAUUUUUUCAUAUUGAUGUUAAUGAAGCAGAAGUAGAAGGUUUACUGCCUUUGUAAUACUUAAUGGUCACUACGAAUUUUAUAAAAUUCCUUUCGAUUUAUGAAAUAUCUUUCUCAAAAGUACAUUAACGCAGCAUUUCGAGAGUUAAUAGCUUCAAAAAUGGUUCUACUUUGCAUCGACGACUUAAUUAUAGUAGCAGGUAAUGCAGAUGAUACCAUCAAUAAUCUUCAUUUCGUUUUAAAUAUAGCAAUACAAUACGAUUUAUACAUUAAUUGGAAGAAGAAUAAGUUUUUAAAAACCAAUAGAAUAUCUCUGAUAUAUUAUUGAAGAAGAAGAGACGUGAUCAGAGAAAUCAUUGAAAAAUCAUCAGAGAAAAAUAUUGCAAUCGUGACUACACUUUUAAAACCUAUUGACCCUCAAGCUAUACAAUUUUCUUACGCCCAUUGUCUAAUUUAUUAAAGAAGAAUGUCAUUUUUGUAUUUAGUCGUUCGAAAGUGACCUGUUUCUCACAACGAAAGCUAAUAAAUUGAUAAGCCGAUCCUAUGCCUAUAUAAGACGAACGUUAAAACGUUAGAGCUAUACAUCGACGCAUCUAGUCUUGGAUACGGUGCAAUAUUAAUGCAAUGAGAUAGCAUAAUUAAAAAGAUGCAUCUUUUGCGAAAAACGUUGCAAGCCGAGUAGAAAUAAUGUAGUUAUAAGUUAAAAGUAUUAACGAUUAUCAAGGCACGAUGUAAAUUUAGAGUCUAUUUACUUGGUAUUUCUUUCAAAAUUAUUACUGUAUUUACGAUAACCCUUCAUAAAAAGUUUUAUACGUGCGUGUUUCGAAAUGAAUGCUUCUUCUCCGAGAGUUCUCAUAUAUGAUUUAAUAUCGGCUGAGUAAGAGUAUGCUAUAUGUAGACACUCUAUGGAAAUCGUUUAUCCAUAAUAUUGCUCGUUGAAGAGGACGAAAAUAGACUUUUAACCAGAUCGAAGAAGAUCCAAAACGAAGACACGCAGGUCAAGCGACCAUAAGAAUGAUUAAAGAAAAAGAUGUGAAGAACAUUAUUUGUACAAAUGGUUUAUUGUACAGACGGAUCUAUGAUGACGUGCUUGUAAUGGUUCCUAAGACAUUGUAACUUCAAAUAAUUAGACAAGGACACGAACGCGACCAUUUCGCGAUAAAUAAGACUAAACAACUGAUUAGAAUGUAAUACUGGUUUGGAAGAAUGAAACCCAAAAUCGAAAAGAUCGUACUAAAUUGUAUAAGUUUAUAGACGAAUAUAAACAAGGAAAGCAAGAAGGAUUUUUGUAUACGAUAAAAGAUGUAGAACUGCCACUAGGUACAUAUUGUAUUGACCACAUAGACCUCAUUCUCAGUACAAAGAAAAAUUAUAAACAUGUCUUCGCAAUAAUUGAUGCGAAAUUUACUUGGUUUCAUGCAACUAAGGGUACGGACACUGCAGAGGUAUUAGAUCAUCUCAGAAAAUAAGCAACGAUCUUCGGUAAUCUGUGCUGAAUCAUUUCUGACCACAGAAAAACAUUCACUUCAAAUGUGUUUGCAGAAUAUUACAAGGAUGAAGGAAUAUAACAUAUAAAAACGAUAAUAGAAAUGUCACGAUUGGAUGGACAACAAGUAGAACGCAUCAACAGAACGCUUAUUUCUUUAAUAACGAAAGUGCCAUCAUGUCCCAAAGAACGGCAUUGACAUUUGCACCUCGUGCAAAGAUAUUUAAACGCUACUUCGAAGAAAAGCAUUAACACUGCACAUUUCAAUCUAUUGUUUGGUACUCAUGAAAAUGAAAGAGGGCCAGUCAAUAAGAAAAAUGAUAGAAGUCGAAUGGAUUUGUACGUUUUGCGACAAUAUAAGAAAAAUGGGCUGGAGCUGAAGUUUCUAAGAUCCAACAAGACUACCAAAGGAAUUUUAAUAAAUGUUGGACCAAAGCAAUACGAUGUAGGAGAGAUGAUCGUUAUUAAGCAUACGCAAUUUGCACUAGGUUCAAAGUUUCUAUUGGUAUUUUUAGGACCUUAUCAAAUAAAGACAAUGUUACGAAACAAUAGAUACAUCUUUGGGAAAAUAGAAGAGCAUGAAGGUCCAUAAUCAUAAUCAUAAUCUCCACUGCAGCGGAUCUGAUUAAAUUAUGGAAUCAUCCUGUAGAAGAAUGUUUAUUCGACAAUGACGAAGAAAAUGAUAUUUGAGGGUAGAUGUUAGUGUGCUAUAACGGCCGAAUGUGAUAUUGAGAAUUUUAGUCCAGUUUUAUACAUGAAGUGUAAGCGAAGCAGCAUGUAUAAGUUUAUUGUUCCUCGUAUCAAUACACUUGGAAAUUUUCCGAGGUUUUAUAUCAGUGCGAAUGAGUGUGUAUCCAUGUACACUUGAAGUAUGACCAAGGUUCUUGAAAAAAAGCACAAGAGGGAAGGCAAGAGUGAUGAUCGAUACUGGGUAGUUUUAAAAGCUGCAAUUAAGACGCGACUUAAAGCUGUCUUCAUUUUUUAUAUUAUUUUAUUAAUUUCUUUCAAUAAAUCUUAUUUUAUUAAAAUCACUAAUAUCAAAUGUAUGUAUAUUAAUAGAUAAUAAUAUAUGUUGUUACGAAUUAAUCUAGAGGAGUGUGAACUCGUAAUGGAUAGGUCUUGCACGUCUUUAUCGUGCUAGUAGAGAUGCAUGUGUAUGUAAUAUAAUUCUUCUACGCUAAAUCUUCUACGCUUAUAGUUGGACCAAUUCUAACAAUUUGUUCGUUCUCAAACAAAAAUAAAGAUAAAAGUAAAAAAAAAAAGAAAAGGAUAUAUAAAUCGCAACGCUUAUUGAUUGAAUCUUCUCUCUUUUUUUUUUCUUUCGAAUUUAUUCACCAUGUUAAGAUUACAUAUUUACUGACUUUCACACACUUUAAUUAAAUCUUGAAAAUAUUCGCAAAAAGUUCAUUACAUUUCCAUGUACAAUCUUUGAACCGUUUGUGCAAGUCUAGUUUAUUUCGUCGGUGAUCGUAACGACGUUUCAUUUUAUCUAGCACUUGUUGCAUCGAUAUAUGUACAUUUUCACCUUUUAAAUACCACUAGUGAAAUUUUAAAUUAAGAUUAUUUUAAGUUUUCCGCGCGUUACAAUUUUCGUAAUGUUUAAGCGAAUGUAUUAUUGCUCAAAUAUUAGUUUACUGAACUUCGAGAACUUUUCUAUUAUUUAAAUAAAUCUAAAAUUACCGAAAGUAUUAAAUUUUAAGUUUGCACGUUUAGGAAGAGAGAGUUUUAACGUUUUACUCUUUCGAAUGUAAAAGAAAACUAAUACGAGAACUGUUAAAGUCAGU
Vespula vulgaris is the source of this 10118-nucleotide long non-coding RNA. RefSeq lists it as uncharacterized. Lineage: Eukaryota; Metazoa; Arthropoda; Insecta; Hymenoptera; Vespidae. The transcript has 3 exons. The record is from RefSeq and is a predicted model, not a curated record.